AAAUUCCUUCGUGAUUUGAUUGACAGCGGUCGCGUGAUAAACACUGAUAAUGAAAUUGAAAUAUUCUAUCGUUCUAUCGAUGGGAUUUCUUAUGAGCCUGUGAGCUUGAUGGCUUGAAAUCGAAGGAGGAACAAUGACAAAACUCAACUGAGCUCGACUGAUUUGUCAGUGUGAUUUUACAAAUCUAAGAAUGAAUAUAUCCUAACAUUACAAAUCUAACAAUAAAUAUCUCCUAUCACUUG
Diachasma alloeum is the source of this 242-nucleotide long non-coding RNA. RefSeq lists it as uncharacterized. NCBI's taxonomy places the organism in Eukaryota, Metazoa, Arthropoda, Insecta, Hymenoptera, Braconidae. The record is from RefSeq and is a predicted model, not a curated record. The transcript is spliced from 2 exons.